GAUGAACGCUGGCGGCGUGCCUAAUACAUGCAAGUCGAACGAGGUGCUUUUGUAGCAAUACGAAAGUAUCCUAGUGGCGAACGGGUGAGUAACGCGUUGGUGACCUACCCCAAAGUGUGGGAUAACAGUCCGAAAGGAUUGCUAAUACCGCAUGUGGUUAUUGGAUUUAGAAACUGAUAACUAAAGGAGCAAUUCGCUUUGGGAGGGACCUGCGUCCCAUCAGCUAGUUGGUGAGGUAACGGCUCACCAAGGCUACGACGGGUAGGGGACCUGAGAGGGUGA
This 282-nucleotide ribosomal RNA is filed under the name uncultured bacterium. RNAcentral's name for it is "partial 16S ribosomal RNA". It matches the Rfam family "Bacterial small subunit ribosomal RNA", at positions 28 to 303 of the family's 1533-position model. The record is from RNAcentral.